GGUACCUUGACUCAGAGGUCCCCUGAAAUGGUUUUUAGCCCUGAAGGUGCCCAGUUUGCUGGUGGUGGGGUCCUGUAAAGGCUGUCAGCUGUGCUGAUGCCAAGUGCACCUAGGGGCAUUAGAAAAGGGAAGUCAGAUGUGACAGGCUGAGCCUCCAGCUGAGGUCUUGCAGCAUGGGUCACUCUCUGCUUCCAGGCCAUGUACCAGGACUCAUCCUUCCCUGCUGACUCCCGUUCUGGAAGUAAUAUCUGUUCUCCUCCUUUCUGGAUGGGUUUUGGGGUGUCCAUGUGCUACCUGCACGUGGGAGAAGGCAGUCUCUUGCUUUUACACCUGCUGCAUAAAGGUGUAAAUGCUGUAAGGCCCCUCGUUGCCAAAGAUGCUUCCCAAAGACUGAAGAUGCCAGGAAAGACCCCACAAAGCAACGGGACUGUGAUAGGUGGAAAGCUGCGGUUCUCCCCUUUGUCCCCACCAGCAGCUGGGGCUAGGGUGGCCUUGGGGACAAGGGGACAGGAGGGGCUGGCAAGGGUGCAGGGCCCGGCAUGUCCCGGCCUUUAUCUCCCCCUAGUGCCACCCGCCAGGCUCCUUUACUCCGGUGCUGCGCCGUGCAGAGUCCGGCAGUGCCCUGGGGCAGCCACAUCCCAGAGCAGCACAGGGACUGUGGGGAACGGGGCAGGGCACGCCUGUGGGGCUGGACCCCAUUGGCCACAGGAGUGAUGUCCUGAAAAUCCUGGUCGAGUGAGCGUCAGGAAGAGCCACAACAUCCAACUGCAACAAGGAGGUUGGCAUCAUGGGAGCUGUGGUGGUGAUGGGAGGACAGGAGGUGGUGGAGAGUGAGGUGAUGAAUGUGUCUUUGCUUGGCCUGAAUGGACCCGAAAGGUGACAUUCCCAAGGCUGAAAUGAGGCUGUUCUGGUGGCACUGUCACCUGAGCAAGGCCAAGGGACCCUUGGAGCUGUGACAAUCCUGAAGGAAUAGAACAGGGUCACCCCCUGCCUGUGAGGCCAUGGGGAUGUGCAGCCGUGCUCGAGGCAGCCUGGCCCCGUGGAGCUGGAGAUCACCUUCGGUCAGCAGGACCUUGCUGAGUCCCGAGCCGCUGUCCCUGAGCCAUGUGUGCACUGAGCUGUGCCCAGACUCAGCAGCAGCCGGGGGUGGCACACAGCCCGCGGGGCUCUGCUCCUGAGCCUUGUCCUCUGUUCUCUCCGAGCUUCCCAUCGCCCGUGGUUUGAGCAGGAAAAGGGCAAGAGGCUCUUCCUCACAGACUGGCUCUCCCCUCAGCCCGGCAGGAGGAUAAUUCUACAAAGCUCAUGAGCAAAUUCCACCCGAGCCUUUCAGGAUGCUGUGAACAUCACUGACAGCCGUUGUGAAAAAGUUGGGUCUGGGUUUGUUUCACAAGUGUGAAAUAAAUUUCAAAACUCUCACAUUCAAACCAGCCUGGUAAAUUGCCCUAAACGAGCACCAAGUGUCAUCUUGUGUGGAUGACAGAGGAACCUGGAAUGCAGCUGAGAAGCCUUUGGACAAGCAGGAAGAAGUGGGCUUGGGCCAUGGGGAGUGGAGCUGACCUGGCAGAGGGGCCAAAUGGGCUGAUUUAACAGAUGUGAGCAUACACUGGAUGUGGAGGAGCUGGGGACUGAGAUGAGGUGCAGUAGUUUGUCAGGCCCUGCUCCAGGAUGACAAUGAUGGGACCUCCAGGCUGGGUGAUUGAGAGCUGAUCUGGCUCCACUUCCCUGGUUAGCACAAGGCUGGGAUAAGCUGAUAUAGGGUGGAAGAAAAGCAGGAAAAAAAAAGGAAUUUCUCAUCUUAACACCUAAUGUGCUGCUGGCUUAAGACAGGAAGACAAGCGACCUUGGCUGAUCUAAGACAGAAGCACAGAGCACAUCGACAGCCAAGCCAUGAAACUCCUCCGCAAGAAUGAACCAUUAAUGGAAUUAACCAUGGUGCCCAAGGUGGACAGCUUGGGGUGAAAAGUUAAUCCUGAUAUAAUUAGAGACAGCCUUGUAACAGCAAAAUUGUGGAGUCACAGGUCACAGCGUGAGAUGCCACCAAGACCUUGCAGUGUGUCAAGUCUUGCAGGAAUGGGACAGGAGUGAAACAGAAAUCAUCUGCAUCAUGCUUCAAAGGAUGGAGCAAUGUCCUGAGAGAGCUGGGGAAGGUUUCUCUGUCCACCCCAUGAAGUGUUUGGCCUUGAGGAACUCAGGCAAGAAUAUCAUGUCCAACCAAGCACACAAAACCCAAACAAAUUAAAAUGCAUCUGGACUGAUGUGCAGUUCCCUAUAGGUACUGGAAAACCUUGUCUCUGUGAUGCCAUCAUGGAAUGAGCAGAGGACAGAAAUGACACGGGAGAAAUCUGGAGACACCUUUCAAGGGAUGAAGAAUCAUCCAACCCCUCUGGUUUGAAGAUGCUGACAGGCCACUGCUCUGAGCUGUGUGGAGGGAGCAGAACGAAUGGAGGGAAGCACGAGCCCUGGUGGGAAGGAUGAGGUCUUGCUCCAAGAUAAAGGUUCAGGCAAGAGCUGGAGCCUGUGUGAAUUUGGCAGAGGGGAGUGUGAGCAGUGCUCACUCCUGAGCUCACAGCUCAGCACCCAGGCUCAGACUGAGCAUCUGGCAUUCAGCUCACACCAAGCUGUGAGCAGCAGCACCUGAAGAGCUUGUGAAUGCCCUCUCCUACUGGUGGUGCAAUGGGAAGGCCACAUCUUUAACCAGGGGACAAGGCAGGGAGGGGGGAAACACUGAAAUCUUCCCAUCUCAAGUGGCCAGACUGUAUCUAUGGGCAUCCCACCUUUCUCUGUGCUCAGGGAAGAGAUCUUUCACCAUAAUCUGCAGCGGAAAAAAUGUUCUGUGUCUUUUUUUUGGCCCAUGUUGGCUGAAACCGCCCAUAAACCACUAAUUGCCGCUGCUAAAAGGGAGCUGGCAGACAUGAAAUUUGCCCAGAUUACCCAGAUUACUAUUUUAUGGGUAGAAAUAUGAUUUCAAACUGACUGUGGGGCAGGUUGCAAACUGGUGUCAGAGAGAUGAAAAACCAUAAUGUCGCAGAGCCCAAAGACAGACAUUUUUUGUGGCAGUUUACUUUAAAAAUAAAGCAAAUGGACUGUUGUGUCUCAGACAAAGUCUGAGAUUCGUCAAGCAACAACCUUGAGUGAGAGCACAAAGAUUUAUACAGGUUUUUCUUAAUAGUUUGUCAGGCAUGGCAAAGUUACAGGCUUCACAUUUGGGACUUAAGAAAGAAGGACCCCUCAGAGUGACAGACUCAAUUAUGCUGAUGACAGAAGACACUGUUUUUCCUGAACUGCUGCUCUUGCUUUUGUGAGAUAGCCUUACCCAUUACUUGGGGGAUUCCUCCACAUCAGAGUUAGAUGGUCCUGACAGAUGAUGGGCAAGAUUCUGAGCAAUUUGCUGAAAAGUCCAAGUCUGCAUCCAGUCCCCACGAGACUCUGUUCAACAAGUAGGUAGGAAAUAGCUUUACAUUAAUGAAUACUUAAUGAAAAGGAGAGCAGAAUCAGAUCUGAUUGCUGCUUGUGGGGUAUCGCCCACAGAACACGUUUAGCCACCUGCAAAUACUCUUUCUGCAUGAAAUGAAGCAAGGAGACCCUUUGAGCCGUGUGUCAAGCUCUGUAGCCCAAGGAGGCAAGAGUUUGCAGAAGUUCACAGACACGCAGCUAAACACAAACAGUGCUGUGAUUGCGGUCCCUGGGUUACCACCACUUCCUGAACACCACAGAAUUCACACACACAAUGAAAAUCAGAAGCCAGAAACAGCAGUUAUUUCACAUAAAAUUGCUCCACAAUCCCAUGAGUGCAGGGUGUGUGUAACCAGACGUGCCUAGAGAAAGAAUAGGCAGCACCUUCUGCAGCAGCCGGGAGGAGAGGAGGCAACAGGCCCUGGGCUUUUCUUCUAUCCUGGAAGAGCUUUGGCAGCACAUGGGAAUGGUAAGGCCACCUGGUUCUGGGACAUAACAUCACCAGGAAAAACAGACUCCCAUUCCCAAUGAGAACUCCUCUGAUGGUGCCACAGUGACUACAAGUUACAGGGCAGAGCUCCUCAGAAGUUAUUCAAACACUGCUAAUUGUUUGGCUGUAAGGUUUUGAGGUCACAAGCUAUAGAAAUGAUCCUUCCAUGUUUUGGGUGGGGAAGGGAGGUAGGACCUCAGGAACUGUGUCUUUAAGCAGCUUAGUUCUGGAGACAGGAAGUCUGGCGAUGGGCUGCAGCAGUGCAGAUUUUAUUAUGCAAUUUCUCUUGGAACUAGUCCCUGAAUAAAGGAGUUAUCCAUUAAGCACCUGCUUUGCCCUCCCUCCUGAACACCACAAACGAAGGUCUCAGGAAUCCUUUCAAGAGCUUACCCAUCAGUGGGGGAGCAGGGAGCCAUGCACUGGGGUCCAGACUGGUAAUAUUGAUGUGUUUGGUUUAUAGUGUCUUUCAAAGGGUUUCUCUUCAUUAAAUCCUCCUACUCUGUUUGAGCUUGUUCCAUGUUUGGCAUUACUAGUGUACCAGUGGCUGAGGCCAUCUAAGUCUUGCAAUACUGAUCCAAAGGGCUGUGGUACCCAGGCUACUCUUAGGCCCUCAGGAUAUUUAAUCAUAGCCCUCUUUCCAAAGGGUAGCCAAGGUCUUCCUCUCCCUCCCAUCAUUAACCUAUCAUUGCUGUUCUGAUCCCAUGGUAGGGGCAGCUGGGGACAUUGCAGCACGGAGAAGGUGCAGGACACAGUGGAAGUAGGAUCCUCCUCCUCUGCCCCUACUGCCUGUGGUAAAGGAUUCCCUCCCUCCAAAGCAUCUCCUUUCCCUCCCACUCUGCUCCUGGGACUUGCAGCCCCACUCUGACUUCACCAACGUGGCAAGCCUGGCACUUGCUGUAAAGACAGAGGAGCUCUCCCAGCUAAUCAUGGCCUCCAUACAUCCUCUGCCUUUCUCCCAACAGUGGGUACAUGGCAUUUCCCUCAGAGGCACUGACACAGCAGCUCCUGUCACAGCACUGGGGCUGUCAGGGCCCCUGCCUCAGCGGCUGUGUGCUCAGGGCUGCAGUACUGGUGUAACACGGGUGUGUCACCCAGCACCAGGCAGCAUGAACAUCCUCUGGAGAGGGGCAGUAGCUGUGGGACUGCUCAGGAUCUGUCCCCAGUGGUAAACUCCAUCCUGACUUUAUCCCAGAGCUGCAGAGUUCAUGCAGCAGCAGGGAAAGGGGUCAUGAGGGGAGCAAAGUGCUACGGAGAGCUCCUGGUGUCAGCCACUCCUGCAUAUCCAUAAGUGAUGCCAUUGUAGAAGUACAGACUCGUUUGGGUUUGAGGGAUUUUAAACAGCAGCUCAUUCCACCUUCCUGCCAGGGGCAGGGACACCUUCCACUAGCUCAGGUUGCCCAGGCCGUAAUGACCAAGGCAAGCACAGUGAUCCAAGAUGCAAUUCAAAAUACAUCAACCAAACUUGUUAAAAAGUUCAAGCAGGAGCCAGAAAAAGACACUGCUGUCCUCAGCUGUGCCUUAGAGUCUGACCUGACUCCCACUCCUCACCUCCAACAGCAAAACAUUUUCCUUUAACCUAAACUGGGAUAAAUGCUUAAUACCACAGUAAAAUGCUGCUGGAUAAGAGCUGCUGCUUUUACAUCUAGAGGCACUGUGAGACACUGAACCUGUCCCACACUGAAACAGAUGCAAACUCACUGCUUUGGAAGGAAAUUAAAGCAGGCACAAGCAGAGAGCCCUUACUUGUGUAACUAACGAGUAACACAGUGAUAGAAGCAGAGGUCUGACAGAGACCUCCACGUGAUUACAGCCAGACCAAGGACAGGCACCAUGUAAAUAAAUACAGAAUUUGCAAGUAAAUGUAAUGAAAUUCAUGUAAAUGUAGAAGUAAAUGUAAUGAAUUCGGGUUUUGCAGUAAACAAAAGGCAGACUUAUUCUUUGCAAAGGAAUCUGUCAUUAUAGAUCUCCUUUAAACCAAUAAAUUA
Molecule: long non-coding RNA, 5928 nt
Organism: Onychostruthus taczanowskii (white-rumped snowfinch)
Lineage: Eukaryota; Metazoa; Chordata; Aves; Passeriformes; Passeridae
Exons: 3
Source: RefSeq, a predicted model, not a curated record